GGGCCCGUAGCUCAGUUGGGAGAGCGCCGCCCUUGCAAGGCGGAGGCCGUGGGUUCAAAUCCCGCCGGGUCCAC
This 74-nucleotide transfer RNA is filed under the name Methanococcus maripaludis. RNAcentral's name for it is "tRNA-Ala". It matches the Rfam family "tRNA". From Rfam's summary of the family: Transfer RNA (tRNA) molecules are approximately 80 nucleotides in length. Their secondary structure includes four short double-helical elements and three loops (D, anti-codon, and T loops). Further hydrogen bonds mediate the characteristic L-shaped molecular structure. tRNAs have two regions of fundamental functional importance: the anti-codon, which is responsible for specific mRNA codon recognition, and the 3' end, to which the tRNAs corresponding amino acid is attached (by aminoacyl-tRNA synthetases). tRNAs cope with the degeneracy of the genetic code in two manners: having more than one tRNA (with a specific anti-codon) for a particular amino acid; and 'wobble' base-pairing, i.e. permitting non-standard base-pairing at the 3rd anti-codon position. Lineage: Archaea; Methanobacteriati; Methanobacteriota; Methanococci; Methanococcales; Methanococcaceae. The record is from RNAcentral.